UCGGAAGCUAAGCAGGAUUGGGCCUGGUUAGUACUUGGAUGGGAGACCUCCUGGCAGUACCAGGUGCUGUAGUCUU
This 76-nucleotide ribosomal RNA is filed under the name Coregonus artedi (cisco). The record is from RNAcentral. Lineage: Eukaryota; Metazoa; Chordata; Actinopteri; Salmoniformes; Salmonidae.